AGCGCGCGUAGGCCGUUGAGUUAGUUAAUUGUGAAAUCCCAAAGCUUAACUUUGGAACUGCAAUUAAAACUGCUCGACUAGAGUUUGAUAGAGGAAAGCGGAAUACAUAGUGUAGAGGUGAAAUUCGUAGAUAUUAUGUAGAACACCAGUUGCGAAGGCGGCUUUCUGGAUCAACACUGACGCUGAGGCGCGAAAGUAUGGGUAGCAAAGAGGAUUAGAUACCCUCGUAGUCCAUACCAUAAACGAUGAUUGCUAGAUGUUGGAAAUUUAUUUUCAGUAUCGCAGCUAACGCAUUAAGCAAUCCGCCUGGGGAGUACGACCGCAAGGUUAAAACUCAAAUGAAUUGACGGGGACCCGCACAAGCGGUGGAGCAUGUGGUUUAAUUCGAAGAUACGCGCAGAACCUUACCAACCCUUGACAUGUCUGUCGCGAGUUUAGGAAACUAGACUUUUCGGUUCGGCCGGACAGAACACAGGUGCUGCAUGGCUGUCGUCAGCUCGUGUCGUGAGAUGUUGGGUUAAGUCCCGCAACGAGCGCAACCCCUACUUUUAGUUGCCAUCAGGUCAUGCUGGGCACUCUGAAAGAACUGCCAGCGAUAAGCUGGAGGAAGGUGGGGAUGACGUCAAGUCCUCAUGGCCCUUACGGGUUGGGCUACACACGUGCUACAAUGGUAGUGACAAUGAGAUGCAAAGUGGCGACGCUAAGCUAAACUCA
RNAcentral lists this ribosomal RNA (714 nucleotides) under uncultured Pelagibacterales bacterium. Its description in RNAcentral is "bacterial SSU rRNA". It matches the Rfam family "Bacterial small subunit ribosomal RNA", at positions 564 to 1276 of the family's 1533-position model. The record is from RNAcentral. Lineage: Bacteria; Pseudomonadati; Pseudomonadota; Alphaproteobacteria; Candidatus Pelagibacterales.